Molecule: ribosomal RNA, 327 nt
Filed under: Platyphytoptus sabinianae
Lineage: Eukaryota; Metazoa; Arthropoda; Arachnida; Trombidiformes; Eriophyidae
Description: eukaryotic LSU rRNA
Rfam family: Eukaryotic large subunit ribosomal RNA
Source: RNAcentral
CCAAGGAGUCUAAUUAGGCAUCAAGUCGAUCGGUCUUGAUAGGCCAGACGGGUGGAUUCGUCCACCGAUUGAAGGCGUAAGAAAUCAAAUCAUGUGAUCAUGGGGGCAAUACCAGCCCUUAUGCGCAACAUGUGCCUGUUCGUAUAGUAAUGUUAGCAAUAACUUACUGGGCGGAGCAAAGAGAUGCCUGAUUGGUACCCGAAAGAUGGUGAACUAUGCUUGGGCAAAUUGAAGCCAGAGGAAACUCUGGUGGAGGAUUGUAGCGAUUCUGACGUGCAAAUCGAUCGUCAGACCUGAGUAUAGGGGCGAAAGACUAAUCGAACCAUC